UACAGAGGGUGCGAGCGUUAAUCGGAAUUACUGGGCGUAAAGCGUGCGUAGGUGGUUUAUUAAGUUAGCUGUGAAAUCCCUGGGCUCAACCUGGGCAGGUCAGCUAAGACUGGUAGACUGGAGUAUAGGAGAGGGUAGUGGAAUUUCCGGUGUAGCGGUGAAAUGCGUAGAGAUCGGAAGGAACACCAGUGGCGAAGGCGGCUACCUGGCCUAAUACUGACACUGAGGCACGAAAGCGUGGGGAGCAAACAGG
This 253-nucleotide ribosomal RNA is filed under the name uncultured bacterium. RNAcentral's name for it is "partial 16S ribosomal RNA". It matches the Rfam family "Bacterial small subunit ribosomal RNA", at positions 524 to 776 of the family's 1533-position model. The record is from RNAcentral.